This 325-nucleotide ribosomal RNA is filed under the name uncultured bacterium. RNAcentral's name for it is "bacterial SSU rRNA". It matches the Rfam family "Bacterial small subunit ribosomal RNA", at positions 28 to 334 of the family's 1533-position model. The record is from RNAcentral.
GACGAACGCUGGCGGCGCGCCUAACACAUGCAAGUCGAACGAGAAUCAACGGAUUGAGGACUUCGUCCAAAUGAAGUUGAGGAAAGUUGGCGGACGGGUGAGUAACGCGUGAGGAACCUGCCUCGGAGUGGGGAAUAACAGCUGGAAACAGCUGCUAAUACCGCAUAAUGCAACGGAAUCGCAUGACUCUGUUGCCAAAGAUUUAUCGCUCUGAGAUGGCCUCGCGUCUGAUUAGCUAGUUGGCAGGGUAACGGCCUACCAAAGCGACGAUCCAUAGCCGGCCUGAGAGGGUGAACGGCCACAUUGGGACUGAGACACGGCCCAG